This 478-nucleotide ribosomal RNA is filed under the name uncultured bacterium. Its description in RNAcentral is "partial 16S ribosomal RNA". It matches the Rfam family "Bacterial small subunit ribosomal RNA", at positions 28 to 507 of the family's 1533-position model. The record is from RNAcentral.
GACGAACGCUGGCGGCGUGCUUAACACAUGCAAGUCGAACGUGAUUUUUGUGGAAAUUCUUUCGGGAAUGGAAAUGAAAUGAAAGUGGCGAACGGGUGAGUAACACGUGAGCAACCUACCUUACACAGGGGGAUAGCCGUUGGAAACGACGAUUAAUACCGCAUGAGACCACAGAAUCGCAUGAUAUAGGGGUCAAAGAUUUAUCGGUGUAAGAAGGGCUCGCGUCUGAUUAGCUAGUUGGAAGGGUAAAGGCCUACCAAGGCGACGAUCAGUAGCCGGUCUGAGAGGAUGAACGGCCACAGUGGAACUGAGACACGGUCCAAACUCCUACGGGAGGCAGCAGUGGGGAAUAUUGCACAAUGGGGGGAACCCUGAUGCAGCGACGCCGCGUGAGCGAAGAAGGUUUUCGAAUCGUAAAGCUCUGUCCUAUGAGAAGAUAAUGACGGUAUCAUAGGAGGAAGCCCCGGCUAAAUACGUG